RNAcentral lists this ribosomal RNA (429 nucleotides) under Pseudomonas sp. Its description in RNAcentral is "bacterial SSU rRNA". It matches the Rfam family "Bacterial small subunit ribosomal RNA", at positions 371 to 793 of the family's 1533-position model. The record is from RNAcentral. Lineage: Bacteria; Pseudomonadati; Pseudomonadota; Gammaproteobacteria; Pseudomonadales; Pseudomonadaceae.
CCCGUUGGCGAGCUGAUCAGCCAUGCCGCGUGUGUGAAGAAGGUCUUCGGAUUGUAAAGCACUUUAAGUUGGGAGGAAGGGCAGUUACCUAAUACGUGAUUGUUUUGACGUUACCGACAGAAUAAGCACCGGCUAACUCUGUGCCAGCAGCCGCGGUAAUACAGAGGGUGCAAGCGUUAAUCGGAAUUACUGGGCGUAAAGCGCGCGUAGGUGGUUUGUUAAGUUGGAUGUGAAAGCCCCGGGCUCAACCUGGGAACUGCAUCCAAAACUGGCAAGCUAGAGUAUGGUAGAGGGUGGUGGAAUUUCCUGUGUAGCGGUGAAAUGCGUAGAUAUAGGAAGGAACACCAGUGGCGAAGGCGACCACCUGGACUGAUACUGACACUGAGGUGCGAAAGCGUGGGGAGCAAACAGGAUUAGAACCCGGGGGGG